This 1245-nucleotide long non-coding RNA is filed under the name Sus scrofa (pig). RNAcentral describes it as "lncRNA (ENSSSCG00050037038.1)". The record is from RNAcentral. Lineage: Eukaryota; Metazoa; Chordata; Mammalia; Artiodactyla; Suidae.
CCGGGCAGCUGCAGCUCUGAUUCGAUUUUAAGCCUGGCAACUUCCAUAUGCUGCCGGUGUGGCCCUAAAAAAAAAAAAAAAGAAAGAAAAAAAAAAGCGAUAAGUGAUUGUGAGGUCUAUUGAGAAACUACAAAAAACAGUGAUAUCUCUGUUGCUUUUAGUUCUUUCUAUGAAGGAAGAAGAGAUGAGGGAGAGAGAGAGUGAAGAUGCCCAUGCAGCCUCAGGUCCUAAGAGCAUCAUCCAACAAGAUGAACAGGAUCCGCCCCUCCAACGCCUUCCUGGGACAGUCCAGCAGGACAGCAGGUUACAAAAGUUGCACCGGGAAACUAGACCUUGCUCACCUAAAGGGUGGUCAGGAGCCAAGGGUCCUUGCAAUCAGAUUACCCAAGGAACAGCUGAAGGAAGUACACGUCCUUAACCAGGUGGGGGGGAAAGAAAAAGAACCCAGGGGAGAGUGAUGGGGAGGCACGAGGGCUCUUUUCUUUUUUCCUUUUUUUUGGUCACACCUGUGGCAUGUGGAGGUUCCCAGGUUAGGAACCAAACCAGCAGCAACAAUGCUAGAUCCUUAACCAGUAGGCCACCAGGGAACUCCUGGAGGCUCUUUUUAAAUGCUAAAAGAACCGCUAUGUACAUGGUGGAGGGUAAUUGUUCUUUCUUUCUGGGUCUCUAAUGAAGGAACUAAAAGGAAACCAACUUCAGCUCGUUAUAAAGAAAUAGAGAUUUCAGAGUCAGUGUCUUCUGAUGGCUUAAGUUUUUAGACAUUAGUUCGAAUGUGACUUCAUUGCUUUCUAGCUGUUUGACCUUUGGCAAGUUAUGUUAACUCCUGAUAUCUUAACUUUGGACGUAUAAUGUGGAGGUGAUAAUGAUCUAGUGGUUUGUAACUUAUGCAGAGGUUAGUCUAAGUCAGAGAGCUUACGGCCAAAACUGCCAAUAAUCGUAAUGAACCUUUGAAAUUCCUUCAAUUAAACUUAAAUCACAAGGACUUGGGCUCUUUGAAACUCAAAAUCCAACAGCUAAUUUCUUUUCUCUCCUCGCACUGGGCUGUUGCUUUAUUUCCUUGGGCCUUCAUAGGUCAAAGUUUAGUUUAAAAGGAGGAAGCACAGGUAAGUUUUUUUUUUUUUUUUUUUUUCUCACUUUCUUUUAUUCUCAGCAUACAUAGUUGAACUGUCACAUGUUACAUGUGAGAAUAAGGCAUACAUUUAAUGCCAUUGGGGGGAGAAUAAAGUAAUCGUGGACGCGGGUUCA